AAAAAAAAAAAGGGAAAAAAAUUAAGGCAUUCUCAGAACAAGAUUUAUAGUGGACUCAGUGGAUCACCUGCCUCAGAAUAUCCUCAGAUGUUAGUGUUAAAUGUGAAUUUCUCUGACUUCCUGAAUCUGAAGGAGGGUGAGGGCUGGGAAUCUGCACUUAUUUAACAAGCUUCCAGGUGAUUCCGGCUCACUCUCACGUUUGAUGACCACCACACCUGGUGAGUAGUCUCUAGACUUUUUAUCAUGAAGCACCAGUAUAUGCAUUUUACGUGUUCAUUUCUUUACUUAUAAGUUAGUAAUGCAUAGAUGAUGGUUCUAAUGUGUUGUGUAUAUUAUAAAGUGUUCACAAAAGUAGAAAAUUUGCAAGGAUGAGAAAUCAUGCACAUUAAAGUUUAUGUAUGAGCUUCCCACGCCACGUUUUGGAUGAGAGGGUGAGGGUAAUUCAUGCAGGUGAAAUGUUAUUUAACUGAUCCUCAGGGUGAUUGUUAUGGCACAACACUCAUUUUCUCAAGUUUAUGACUCCAACGUCAAUGGGCAUGAGACAGCAUGAUUUUCUGUAGAGGUUUUAUUUCUGUUUCAGUAGUACCACUGGGCAUUCUCGCUCUGCUUCCCCACAAAAUUCACACUUGGUGCUCAAGAAAGUUGUCAUAUUUACCCUCCUCCCCAACCUGAUGUCCCGAGUGCAAAUUCUAGGUGGGAAACCAAGUGUAGACUGGUCAGUGUGUUGGUAUACAGCCCGGCAAUGCCCAGGUAAUACAUACACACACAUACACACACUCCUGAGGCUGCUUUCAGACUGGAAAGGCUGCAAAAUUGUCUCCUAGGAAACCCUGCCUACAGAAAGUUUUAAAGUUAAUGAUUUGACUCUAAAUCUGGCUCUUAACCUCUCUGGGGUCAUGGGUCUCUUUGAGAAUCUGAUGACAUCUAUGAGCUUUCUCUCCAGGGCAGGGGAAAAAAAUACUCAUCCCACUACAUGUACCAUUUCAGAGGGCGUGAACACUUUGGGAGUUCUUGACGUGUGGAGUCUGAGCCAGCAACAUCAACAUUUCCUGGGAACUUACUUGAGCUGCCCCACGCCCAAACCUACUGAAUCAGAAACUUUGGGGUGGGAAUAAGCCCUCCAGGUAUUUUUGAUGAAUACUCAAGUUUGGGAACACUCCAGAGCCGAAG
Molecule: long non-coding RNA, 1170 nt
Filed under: Lynx pardinus (Iberian lynx)
Lineage: Eukaryota; Metazoa; Chordata; Mammalia; Carnivora; Felidae
Source: RNAcentral